This 417-nucleotide ribosomal RNA is filed under the name uncultured bacterium. RNAcentral's name for it is "bacterial SSU rRNA". It matches the Rfam family "Bacterial small subunit ribosomal RNA", at positions 791 to 1206 of the family's 1533-position model. The record is from RNAcentral.
UAGUCCACGCCGUAAACGAUGAGAACUAAUUAUUGCGGGUGUUGACUCCUGCAGUGAUACAGCUAACGCGUUAAGUUCUCCGCCUGGGGAGUACGGUCGCAAGACUAAAACUCAAAGGAAUUGACGGGGGCCCGCACAAGCGGUGGAUUAUGUGGUUUAAUUCGAAGCAACGCGCAAAACCUUACCUGAGCUUGAACUCCUGAGAAUCUGACGUAAAUGUCGGAGUGCCCUUCGGGGAAUUCAGUGAGAGGCGCUGCAUGGCUGUCGUCAGCUCGUGUUGUGAAAUGUUGGGUUAAGUCUCGCAACGAGCGCAACCCCUAUCUUUAGUUGCCAGCAUUAAGUUGGGCACUCUAGAGAGACUGCCUGGGUUAACCAGGAGGAAGGUGGGGAUGACGUCAAGUCCUCAUGGCCCUUAUG